AGAAUCAACGCUGGCGGCGUGCCUAACACAUGCAAGUCGAACGAGAAAGGGUAGCAAUACCUGAGUACAGUGGCGCACGGGUGAGUAACACGUGGCUAACCUACCCUGGAGUGGGGAAUAACUGAGGGAAACCUUAGCUAAUACCGCAUAAUACCUACGGGUCAAAGGAGCAAUUCGCUUCAGGAGGGGGUCGCGGCCGAUUAGUUAGUUGGCGGGGUAAUGGCCCACCAAGACAGUGAUCGGUA
Molecule: ribosomal RNA, 245 nt
Filed under: uncultured bacterium
Lineage: Bacteria
Description: partial small subunit ribosomal RNA
Rfam family: Bacterial small subunit ribosomal RNA
Source: RNAcentral